UACGUAGGGUGCAAGCGUUAAUCGGAAUUACUGGGCGUAAAGUGUGCGCAGGUGGCUUCGCAAGUCGAGUGUGAAAUCCCCGGGCUUAACCUGGGAAUUGCGCUCGAAACUACGGAGCUGGAGUGUGGCAGAGGAAGGUGGAAUUCCACGUGUAGCGGUGAAAUGCGUAGAUAUCUGGAGGAAUACCGGUGGCGAAGGCGGCAUCCUGGACCAUAACUGACGCUGAGGCGCGAAAGCUAGGGGAGCAAACGGG
This 253-nucleotide ribosomal RNA is filed under the name uncultured bacterium. RNAcentral's name for it is "partial 16S ribosomal RNA". It matches the Rfam family "Bacterial small subunit ribosomal RNA", at positions 524 to 776 of the family's 1533-position model. The record is from RNAcentral.